RNAcentral lists this unclassified non-coding RNA (289 nucleotides) under Hevea brasiliensis (rubber tree). Lineage: Eukaryota; Viridiplantae; Streptophyta; Magnoliopsida; Malpighiales; Euphorbiaceae. The record is from RNAcentral.
GUUCCCGUGCUUGUUAUCGUGAGCAUGCUUGCCUAUUUCUGUUUUCUCGAGCAACUACUGGUCGGUAAAAUGGGCAGUGGCGCUAUCGCGAUAUCCCUCCCUUUUUCUUGUGUACUUGGACUGCUCUCAUCCAUGACCUCAUCAACUAUGGUUAAGAGAAGAUUCGUCUGGGUAUACGCCUCAUUUCAGUUUGCUCUCGUCGUUCUCUUCGCACAUAUCUUUUACUCUGUGGUUGGCAUCCAAGCAGUUCUAUCUAUUCUUCUUGCAACUUUUACGGGGUUCGGUGUUG